Long non-coding RNA from Clupea harengus (Atlantic herring), 637 nucleotides. NCBI's taxonomy places the organism in Eukaryota, Metazoa, Chordata, Actinopteri, Clupeiformes, Clupeidae. The record is from Ensembl.
AACUGCUAUCAAACUCAGAUACAGCAAUGAAAUGUCUUAAUUUGUCACAUGCUUGCUUUUGUUAUUUAUUAAGAUAAAACUUGCACACAUUUUAACAGACAAGCCAAAGAAUGUCUCACUGUCUAUCAGUCCUGGGGAAAUAGUGGAUGGCAGUUCUGUGACUCUGACCUGCAGCUGUGAUGCCAACCCACCAGUGCACAACUACACCUGUGGACUUUACUACUGUGAGGCAGAGAAUGAAGUUGGCUCUCAGAACUCUACUGGAGUUGCAGUUCAUACGGAAGUGGCUGGCAUCAUCCCGUCUGCUAUUAUCACCACAUUCAUCAUUCUUGCUGUCCUGCUGUUACUUGGAAUUGUGUAUAGGAGUAAACGUGAAGGAGCUGAGAGAAACAGCAGAGGAAACCAAAGGGCUGUCCAUUCUGAUGCCCAUGAUGAGACAUACACAGCUCUCAACCCCAGGAGCACAUCCUCUGAGUAUGACACUCUGCAGGCCUCAGUGUAUGAGACUCUGCAGAGAAGAGAGACGCCCCAGUCAGAGAUGGAGCUGAAGGAUCUCGGGAUGAGAUGCCAACACCAACCAUGACUUCUGGACUCUCCAUCUUAUACUUACUGCUGCCACAGUCUUACGUUGUUAAGG